This is a long non-coding RNA of Oreochromis niloticus (Nile tilapia), 429 nucleotides long. RefSeq lists it as uncharacterized. The transcript has 2 exons. The record is from RefSeq and is a predicted model, not a curated record. Lineage: Eukaryota; Metazoa; Chordata; Actinopteri; Cichliformes; Cichlidae.
CAUGCCGUUUAGGUAUAUGACAGCCAGGUAUAUUUAAUUAAUGAGUGACUUCACCUGACUCAGGCGCAGGUGCUCCGCUGGAUUUUUGUUUCUAUUUUUAUCAGAAAGCCUUGGGAAGAAUCGGAUGCCGAUUGGUCUACCAAAUGGUCCUGAGAAUCAUUGCCUUUUUUCACUCCUUGGCUCGGGUGAUGUCUCAGAUGAUAAAUAACAGCUCAACAACCCUCAAGUCCACUCCCAAGGGGGACAAGGGGACUUGCGUGUUGGUCCAUAUUCAAUAAAUCUGAAUUUGUCAUGGGAAAAUACAACAGUUGGGGUUUAGAAGAGCCACAAUACUGUGAAAUCAGUCUGUGUUUGGCUGCAUGUGUAUGGAUGUGAGUCACCUGUGUUAUGUGGUAUGACAUACAAUAAAAGUAAUACAGUGACAGCCUA